CCGGGUGCGUAACACGUAGCUGACCUGCCCCUCAGCGGGGGACAACAGUGCGAAAGCGCUGCUAAUACCGCAUACGCACCGCGCUUUUAGAAAGCGCGGCGGAAACUUACGGGGUUGAGGGAGGGAGCUGCGGCCCAUCAGGUAGUUGGUGCGGUAGCGGCGCACCAAGCCGACGACGGGUAGGGGGCCUGAGAGGGUGGUCCCCCACACUGUGACUGACACACGGCCCAGACUCCUACGGGAGGCAGCAGUAAGGGAUAUUGCGCAAUGGGCGAAAGCCUGACGCAGCAACGCCGCGUGGAGGAUGACGGCCUUCGGGUUGUAAACUCCUUUUGGCUCGGACGAGGAAGGACGGUACGGGUCGAAGAAGUCACGGCUAACUACGUGCCAGCAGCCGCGGUAAAACGUAGGUGGCGAGCGUUAUCCGGAUUUACUGGGCGUAAAGCGUGUGCAGGCGGUCGUUCAAGUGGUGUAUGAAAUCGCCCGGCUUAACCGGGCGGGGUUAGGCCAGACUGGACGACUGGAGUGCGGGAGAGGGGCGUGGAAUUCCGGGUGUAGUGGUGAAAUGCGUAGA
RNAcentral lists this ribosomal RNA (574 nucleotides) under uncultured bacterium. Its description in RNAcentral is "bacterial SSU rRNA". It matches the Rfam family "Bacterial small subunit ribosomal RNA", at positions 100 to 694 of the family's 1533-position model. The record is from RNAcentral.